UGGUCACCAUACAAAUGGAAAGAGCAGGA
Molecule: non-coding RNA, 29 nt
Filed under: Rattus norvegicus (Norway rat)
Lineage: Eukaryota; Metazoa; Chordata; Mammalia; Rodentia; Muridae
Source: RNAcentral